UGGGAAUUUGGACGAAUUGGGCGAAAGCCUGAUCCAGCAAUGCCGCGUGUGUGAAGAAGGCCUUCGGGUUGUAAAGCACUUUUGUCCGGAAAGAAAUCCUUGGCUCUAAUACAGUCGGGGGAUGACGGUACCGGAAGAAUAAGCACCGGCUAACUACGUGCCAGCAGCCGCGGUAAUACGUAGGGUGCAAGCGUUAAUCGGAAUUACUGGGCGUAAAGCGUGCGCAGGCGGUUUGCUAAGACCGAUGUGAAAUCCCCGGGCUCAACCUGGGAACUGCAUUGGUGACUGGCAGGCUAGAGUAUGGCAGAGGGGGGUGAGAAUUCCACGUGUAGCAGUGAAAUGCGUAGAGAUGUGGAGGAAUACCGAUGGCGAAGGCAGCCCCCUGGCAAGUACUGACGCUCAUGCACGAAAGCGU
This 415-nucleotide ribosomal RNA is filed under the name uncultured bacterium. RNAcentral's name for it is "partial 16S ribosomal RNA". It matches the Rfam family "Bacterial small subunit ribosomal RNA", at positions 357 to 762 of the family's 1533-position model. The record is from RNAcentral.